CCUACGGGAGGCAGCAGUGAGGAAUAUUGGUCAAUGGGCGCGAGCCUGAACCAGCCAAGUAGCGUGAAGGAUGACUGCCCUACGGGUUGUAAACUUCUUUUAUAAAGGAAUAAAGUGAGGCACGUGUGCCUUUUUGUAUGUACUUUAUGAAUAAGGAUCGGCUAACUCCGUGCCAGCAGCCGCGGUAAUACGGAGAAUCCGAGCGUUCUCCGGAUUUCUUGGGUUUAAAGGGAGCGUAGAUGGGUUGUUAAGUCAGUUGUGAAAGUUUGCGGCUCAACCGUAAAAUUGCAAUUGAUACUGGCAGUCUUGAGUACGGUUGAGGUAGGCGGAAUGCGUGGUGUAGCGGUGAAAUGCAUAGAUAUCACGAAGAACUCCGAUUGCGAAGGCAGCUUACUAAACUGCCACUGACAUUGAUGCGCGAAAGUGUGGGUAUCAAACAGGAUUAGAUACCCUUGUAGUC
This 460-nucleotide ribosomal RNA is filed under the name uncultured bacterium. Its description in RNAcentral is "partial 16S ribosomal RNA". It matches the Rfam family "Bacterial small subunit ribosomal RNA", at positions 338 to 795 of the family's 1533-position model. The record is from RNAcentral.